Molecule: ribosomal RNA, 755 nt
Filed under: uncultured Mycoplasma sp.
Lineage: Bacteria; Bacillati; Mycoplasmatota; Mollicutes; Mycoplasmatales; Mycoplasmataceae
Description: bacterial SSU rRNA
Rfam family: Bacterial small subunit ribosomal RNA
Source: RNAcentral
GAUGAACGCUCGCUGUGUGCCUAAUACAUGCAUGUUGAACGGGAUGUAGCAAUACAUUCAGUAGCGAAUGGGUGAGUAACACGUACCUAACCUACCUUUAAGACUGGGAUAACUAUUGGAAACAAUAGCUAAUACCGGAUAUAGUUAUUUAUCGCAUGAUGAGUAAUAGAAAGGAGCUUCACAGCUUCACUUAAAAAUGGGGGUGCGGAACAUUAGUUAGUUGGUAGGGUAAUGGCCUACCAAGACGAUGAUGUUUAGCCGGGCCGAGAGGCUGUACGGCCACACUGGGACUGAGAUACGGCCCAGACUCCUACGGGAGGCAGCAGUAAGGAAUUUUCCACAAUGAGCGAAAGCUUGAUGGAGCGACACAGCGUGCAGGAUGAAGUUCUUCGGAAUGUAAACUGCUGUUAUAAGGGAAGAAAAAAUAGAAUAGGAAAUGAUUUUAUCUUGACGGUACCUUAUUAGAAAGCGACGGCAAACUAUGUGCCAGCAGCUGCGGUAAUACAUAGGUCGCAAGCGUUAUCCGGAAUUAUUGGGCGUAAAGCGUCCGUAGGUUUUUUGCUAAGUCUGGAGUUAAAUGCUGAAGCUCAACUUCAGUCCGCUUUGGAUACUGGCAAAAUAGAAUUAUAAAGAGGUCAGCGGAAUUCCUAGUGAAGCGGUGGAAUGCGUAGAUAUUAGGAAGAACACCAAUAGGCGAACGCAGCUCACUGGUUAUAUAUUGACACUAAGGGACGAAAGCGUGGGGAGCAAACAGG